This 370-nucleotide ribosomal RNA is filed under the name uncultured Pseudomonas sp. RNAcentral describes it as "bacterial SSU rRNA". It matches the Rfam family "Bacterial small subunit ribosomal RNA", at positions 1014 to 1382 of the family's 1533-position model. The record is from RNAcentral. Lineage: Bacteria; Pseudomonadati; Pseudomonadota; Gammaproteobacteria; Pseudomonadales; Pseudomonadaceae.
GGCCUUCGGGAACUCUGACACAGGUGCUGCAUGGCUGUCGUCAGCUCGUGUCGUGAGAUGUUGGGUUAAGUCCCGUAACGACGCGCAACCCUUGUCCUUAGUUACCAGCACGUUAUGGUGGGCACUCUAAGGAGACUGCCGGUGACAAACCGGAGGAAGGUGGGGAGUGACGUCAAGUCAUCAUGGCCCUUACGGCCUGGGCUACACACGUGCUACAAUGGUCGGUACAAAGGGUUGCCAAGCCGCGAGGUGGAGCUAAUCCCAUAAAACCGAUCGUAGUCCGGAUCGCAGUCUGCAACUCGACUGCGUGAAGUCGGAAUCGCUAGUAAUCGUGAAUCAGAAUGUCACGGUGAAUACGUUCCCGGGCCUU